RNAcentral lists this ribosomal RNA (525 nucleotides) under uncultured bacterium. Its description in RNAcentral is "bacterial SSU rRNA". It matches the Rfam family "Bacterial small subunit ribosomal RNA", at positions 153 to 653 of the family's 1533-position model. The record is from RNAcentral.
GAAACCGGGGGUAAUACUGCAUAUGUCCUCGAUGACAUAAGUCGACGAGGGCAAAGGCGGGGAUUCUUCGGAACCUGUCGCCUUUGGAUGGGCCCGCGUCCGAUUAGCUUGUUGGUGGGGUAACGGCCCACCAAGGCUUCGAUCGGUAGCCGGCCUGAGAGGGUGAACGGCCACAUUGGGACUGAGACACGGCCCAGACUCCUACGGGAGGCAGCAGUGGGGAAUAUUGGGCAAUGGGGGAAACCCUGACCCAGCGACGCCGCGUGGAGGAUGACGGCCUUCGGGUUGUAAACUCCUGUCAGGUGGGAAGAAAAGCCUCGUGGCUAAUAUCUACGAGGAAUUGACGGUACCACCAAAGGAAGCCCCGGCUAACUCCGUGCCAGCAGCCGCGGUAAUACGGAGGGGGCAAGCGUUAUUCGGAUUUACUGGGCGUAAAGCGCACGUAGGUGGCAUGGUAAGUCACAGGUGAAAGCCCUCGGCUCAACCGAGGAACUGCCUUUGAAACUGCCUUGCUUGAGUCCGGGA